This 510-nucleotide long non-coding RNA is filed under the name Gossypium barbadense (sea-island cotton). RNAcentral's name for it is "long non-coding RNA (GBAR_LNC017885)". The record is from RNAcentral. Lineage: Eukaryota; Viridiplantae; Streptophyta; Magnoliopsida; Malvales; Malvaceae.
AAGUUUCCCCUCCGUUGAAAAGGGAAAAAUCAGAUGUUCGACUAUAAAACCAUAAAACAUUAUAUGGAAAACAAAUUAAAAAAAACUCUAGGUUUUGCGGAAGACAAACAGAUCAGUAAUUUUUAUAAAAUUUUCCAAAUCUAUUUAAAUAUCUAGUUCAGGGAAGCAAAUCACCCAUACUGCAACUUCAUAUGCUUUAUCCAUUAUUAUGCCUUACAUGAUCGAUUUAAGGGAAUUACAAUAUUCAUACAAUGAUGAAAAUCAGGCCUUCUUCAAGAAGCAGAACAAGGCGAAACAUGUCAAUCUAAGGGAGCAGAACAAGGCGAAACAUGUCAAUCUAAGGGCCUUGGAGCUAAGAUUACAUUCUAUUCAGACACAUUCUUCAAAACUAUGCAAACAACAGCAGAACCUAUUUUUCGAAACUAAAUUAUCCUUGACAUUGGUACUUCCAGCAACUAAAAAAAUGCAUGUGUUCUCAGUAGUUCAAGCAAAUAUUGCAUGCAUUUUGCU